UCCAAAGCAAUGGACGGCUCAUAAUUAAUUAUUUGAUGGUACCUUAAAAAAUCCGUUGGUAUUACUAGUAAAGAUGGUUGAAAAACAGGGAUUUACUGUAAAAGCUGGCACAUAAGGAAUUUUUAUAUAUCUAAAUCCCUCCCUACAUUAGCUGCCAACAAUGCAAAAUUACCGGGUAGGAAACAAUCUGCACCAACUUGUAACCUGCUCAUCCUGAAAGAUUUAUUGAAUGCGCCAACUGAUGAAUCUGGAAGUGAACAUGUCAGGAAUAGAACACCAUUCAGAAAAACAAAGCACAAUAAUGGGAGAUUUAUCGUCCAUGCAGGAAUGGAAAACAUGCUACCUGCGAAAGAGAUUCAUGUAACUUCAGAAAAAGCAAGACAUAGCAGAUGCAUUUCUGAUUUGUCUCGAGCAAGAAACACACAUAAUGAACAUCCUAGUGAUGUUAUGAGUAAUGGGGCACACCAAACAUCUGUUUCUACUGCUCUAGAUGUCGAUUUAGAUUUCUGUAGAAAAUAAGGUUAAUUAGAUCAUGUGAUUACAAAUAUGUCAGUUUAGAAAAAUGUUAUUACUACUCGACUAAUUGUAAGGAUGUCAUUAUAAUUUUAGAACUAUUUAAGAUAUAUCAUUUUUGGACCAAAUUGCCCUUUACGCUUACAAAGGGUAUAGGGAAUAACAUAAGGGUAAUAUGGUCUAUUUUUAAAAAAAUGCACCGAAAGGGUAUGGAGUUGCAUAUUUUGAAUAGUUCUGAAAUUAUAAUGACAUUCUUAGGAUUAGUCGAAUAAUAAUGGUAUUUUUCUAAACUGUUAAAUUUAUAAUAACAUGAUCUAAUUAACCCUAGAAAGGGUAAUAUGGGUUGGGCAGAGCUGAAAGAAACACCACCAUUACUAGAGAUAGAAGAAGAUAUUCAUAAUCAGAAUAACAUAGUGUUGAAGGUAUGCCACAAGAAUAUUUGUUUUAUAAAGUUUCAUAUUGUUUUCCGUGUUAACUUGUCAACGGAUGCAAACAAUCAGCAUGAAAAUUAACAGAGUCCCUAUAAGUAGAAAAUGGGUUUUAAGGAAAUUGACAUCAAAAAUUGAUCCCCACUUUGCCAGGUGUGGGAUAGUAGUGGGUGGCACAGAGCUAUCAUUUCAUAUUUCUAGGGGCUGAAUGUCUACUGGACUUCUAUUUUUCUCCUGCAGUUUGUGGGCUAAUAAAUUGCACUAUCUUACAUUCUUGUAGUAUGAUAUGAUAAGAUAUAUACAUAGUAACAUUGAUUUGAGUCAAUUUUUGUUUAAUUCUCGUUAUCAAAAAAAAUUACAUUUGGCUGCAGGGCCAUGAGGGGAGAAAGCCAAGCCGUGGAGAUUAACAUCGCUGAUAUGUCUGAACGAAUACAUUCUUCUCAUAUUGUAAGCUUAGAUCAUCGCAAAUGCUCAAAUACAACUGCUUCAUUGCAACAAAUUUGUGAACAUGAGACUGCAUAUUUUAGAAUCUUUAAAGGCGUCAGAGACGGCAUUCACGGUAUGUGUAUAUAAAAUUAGGAUUUUUUAUCAUACUUAAAAAAUACCUCAAGAUAACCAGAAUUUUAAUACAAAUUUUUGGUAUCUCAAAGUACCAUACUUUUUACACUAAAAAGUAAGUACCUUGAGAUACUUUUUCAAGGAUGAUAAAAAAGCUCAUAAACUUAACUUUAUUUUCCUGCACUCCGAUAUUUUCCAUUGUUGAUAACCUGUUGCAAAUCACUGGUUUGCAAGAUAGUUUACCAUGUAAUAUUUGGGGCCUCCAUUUUAUUGGUCUUAUUAUGGAGUGUUGUAAAACAUCAAUCCUACAGUAACCUGUAUUAAAACAUAAUGUAAAUCAUAGUUUAAAGUUGCAAACUUGUAAUGAACAAAAAUACUUGCUACUUGCCUAUCUGACCGGAGCACGCGCUGGCGAUGACAAGAUUACAGAAAUCCGCCACCGCGAGGCCGCGGAACACGUGUUUGAGCCGCGAGACGCGUCCAGGUGCGGCUACACCUCGGCCGCGCACAACUCCGGUAGCUCGCCCAGCUCGGCGCCGACGACCAUGCCGGACACCAUCACCGCCGUGGAGAAUGCACGGUUCGAAGGCGGGGAAGGGUGGUGCUCGGUGGCCGGGCGGGAAAAAGACGCCGAUGGAAGAUGAGGACGCGGGAGCGGAGCCAGCGGCAGAGAAGCUGCGGCGGUGGUAGCGGAGAGGCGGCGUAGGAGGAGGACACGGCGGCGGAGGCGGCGGCGGAGGAGGAGGACGACCGGGGGUCGGAGGCGGGGGUGGAGGAGGAGGACACACGGGGGCGGAUGAGGUUGUAGAGCUAGAUUGCCAUGGUGGGCAUGGCCGUCACCGGAGUUGGUGUGAAUGGGUGGGUGGGCGGCGGCGCCGGGUGAAUCAGUCAAUCUGAGUCGGAGGCGCGGGAUGGCCUCCCGACGGCGGCGGUGGCAGCAUCCUGUGCUGCGG
Molecule: long non-coding RNA, 2452 nt
Filed under: Oryza brachyantha (malo sina)
Lineage: Eukaryota; Viridiplantae; Streptophyta; Magnoliopsida; Poales; Poaceae
Description: long non-coding RNA (OBRA_LNC000438)
Source: RNAcentral